AUAUUCUUAAGAAAUAUGAGUAUUUAUACUAAUAGAAUAAAUCUUGAGAAAAAAUAAUUUUAAUUUAAUAGCCGAAUUUUUUAUCCCGAAUUUUUAAUUGAAGAACGUAUAAUAUCCGUAUAAAUCAUGUAUCCGAAUAAUUACUGAAUCCGUUUUUUAGCCGUAUUUUUUAACGAAUUUAAAAAUUAGAAAACGAAUUUUAUCCGAAUUAUAUCCGUACCGAAUUUUUGCCGAAUCCGAAUUAACUAACUAUGGCUACAACCGCUCCUCUCUC
This 274-nucleotide long non-coding RNA is filed under the name Ananas comosus (pineapple). Its description in RNAcentral is "long non-coding RNA (ACOM_LNC003960)". Lineage: Eukaryota; Viridiplantae; Streptophyta; Magnoliopsida; Poales; Bromeliaceae. The record is from RNAcentral.